This 280-nucleotide non-coding RNA is filed under the name Clostridiaceae bacterium BL-3. RNAcentral describes it as "T-box". It matches the Rfam family "T-box leader". Rfam says of the family: Uncharged tRNA acts as the effector for transcription antitermination of genes in the T-box leader family. T-boxes are found upstream of many aminoacyl-tRNA synthetase genes and some amino acid biosynthetic genes usually in Gram-positive bacteria. Lineage: Bacteria; Bacillati; Bacillota; Clostridia; Eubacteriales; Clostridiaceae. The record is from RNAcentral.
AUAAAAGCCAUGAUGAAGACAAGUAAAAAAAACAUUUCACCACCAGUGAGCUGGAGAUAGUGUGAAUCCAGUGGUAGAGUUUUUUUGAAUAACACUUCGGAGUUGUAAACUGAAAUAUUUGUAUGCUGUGUUUUAAGCAAGAUCUUUCACACAGGUUCAGAUUAAAGUAGGUACGCCGUAUUCCAUACGUUACUUUGGAUACCAGUAGUAGCUGGAAAGAGACCAACAAUUAGAUGGUAAAUUAGGUGGCACCACGGAUAAGCGCCAGUUCGUCCUAUUA